This is an RNA transcript of Cryptomeria japonica (Japanese cedar), 3236 nucleotides long. It is a transcript of the gene named probable galacturonosyltransferase 7, with no coding region annotated. NCBI's taxonomy places the organism in Eukaryota, Viridiplantae, Streptophyta, Pinopsida, Cupressales, Cupressaceae. The transcript has 11 exons. The record is from RefSeq and is a predicted model, not a curated record.
AGGCUCUAACCUAUAGAGUAGAGAGGCGUUGGAAGAGUUGUUAUUAUAAGGAAUGGUAUCAUUUGGGAGUUGGGAGAACAUGAGUGACAUUGAUUACUAAGAAGCGCACCUGUUCUCUGCUCUCAUUGUCGGCCAAAACGGCAUAAAUCUGAAGGUCGUGAGAACCAGAUUCAAAACUAGUAAUUCUUUAUCACAUUUUCCGAUGCUUGGCCAAUUGCUUUGUCCUGUCGCAAAGACGAGAAAAUUUGAGGCGUUUUGCGGUGGACAAGAAGAUUUGAUAACUCCUAAGUAGAGGUGUUUUGGGUCAUUGGCAAACGUUUCAAAGAAGGGCGAGAAAGAAAAAAAGAAAAACCUUGUCUAAUACAAUGGAUCCCUAGAUCCAAUGCUGCAAUUAAGUUUCACAUUGUGAUAAACAUCUGGAGUUAUACUUUAUUCUUCUUUGUUACUUUCCCAGAGGAAGAGCAGGCCGAAAAGUCAUGUCUUUGAAGAAGGGAUGGAGGAGAUACGGAGUUGCAGUUGUUUGUUUGGUUCUAUUGUCCAUGCUCGUCCCGUUGGUCUUCUUGCUCGGACUUUAUGGAGGAUUCCAAACCAGCUACAUCACUGAUGAAGGUCCCUCAACAGUGACAGAUGAUUCCAGGCUUCGUAGUGUGCUUGAAAAUGACAAUUCUUCACUGGAAGCAGAGAGACAUAAUCCUAGUCACCAAGGUGAUCUUCCCAACGAAUCACAAUUAUUGCCGUUAAAGGUUUCCAAUGGUGGAGCUGUAACAAAGUUUCCAAAUUUCUCUGCAUCUGAUAUAAAGGCUGGUAUAAUUGUCAAAGAUUCUGGCCUUAAAGAUGGUCACAACUUUUCUAGGACAAUUCAUGGAAACCUGGAUAAAUUGCUGAAUAGGCAUCCAAUCUCAGGAGGAUCAGAUGUUCUGAAUUUCAGUUGGCAUUCUGCAAAAAGUGCAGGAUUGCCAGAGAAAUCUGAUGCUUCUUCAUUUACAGACAGCAGUAUCGAAAGUAAGCAGAGUGAAAAUUCAGCAGAGAGUAAUGUUAAAACAAACAGCAAUGGCAAUGGGUUCUCUGAUGACUCGGACAAAGCUUGUGAAGUGGCUCUGGGAAGUUACUGCAAAUGGAGUACUGAGCAUAGAGAAGAAAUGGGUGAUUCUUUGGUUAAAGUGUUAAAAAAUCAACUGUUUCUUGCAAGGGCUUAUUAUCCAAGUAUAAGCAAACAUCACAAUCGUGAGAAGAUCCAACAUGAGCUCAGGCAGCACAUCCAGAGCAUUGAACAUAUGCUAAGUGAGGCAACUGCAGAUGCUGAUCUUCCAGAAGGUGCACAGAAAAAGAAAAAGACUAUGGAAGUUGUUCUUGCAAGAAAUUACCCUCUUGAUUGUAAUAAUGUUGUAAAAAAGUUAGGACAAAUCCUAGAUCUUACUGAGGAUGAAGCUCACUUUCACAGAAAACAAAGUGUCUUUCUGUAUCAGCUAGCAGUCCAAACAAUGCCUAGAAGUCAUCAUUGCCUCUCAAUGAGAUUGACUGUAGAAUAUUUUCGAACUUAUGAAGGCAGUGUUGAAUCACCUUUGAGCAAGAAUUUGCAAGAUUUGAAUGUCUAUCAUUAUGCUAUUUAUUCUACCAAUAUCCUUGCAGCAUCCGUGGUCAUUAAUUCUACGAUUAUUCAUGCAAAGGAACCAGAGAAGCAUGUGUUUCAUUUAAUAACAGAUAGACAGAAUUACAUUGCAAUGAAGUUUUGGUUUCUGGAGAACACCUAUCGCAAUGCAACUGUCCAUGUUCAGAAACUUGAUGAUUUAAACCUUUUCCGUUCCAGCAACUCUAUGAUGGCUUCUAUAUCAUCAGAGGAGUUUCGUGUUGCAGUAGAGAGCUACCCUCAAAAAACUAGUGAUCCCUCUAUUUCAAAUAGGAAGAUUAAUUAUUUGUCUACCUUCAAUCAUCCUCAUUUUUUGCUUCCUGAAAUUUUACCAAGUUUGGACAAGGUACUUCUUUUGGAUGAAGAUGUAGUCGUGCAAAGGGAUUUAACACCUCUUUGGAGUAUUGAUUUGCAAGGAAAGGUAAAUGGUGCAGUGGAGGAUUGUGAAGUCAGGUUUCAUCAUUUAAGGAAAUACCUCAAUAGCUCAAAAUUUUUUGUGACUGGUUUUGAUGGAAAUCAAUGUACAUGGAUGUCUGGAAUGAAUAUUCUUGAUCUACAACAGUGGAGAAAGCAAGAUCUGACAAGACUUUACAAGAGAUGGCUAAAACUGCAAAACAGAUACAAAGUUCCAUGGAGGCUUGGGGCGUUACCUGCCAGUCUGACAACAUUCUAUAAUAUGACCUACAGCUUGGAUAAAUCGUGGCUUUCAGUUGGUUUGGGUCAUAACUUUGGAAUUGAUCAACAUGACAUUAAAAAAUCUGCUAUUUUGCAUUAUAAUGGUGCCUUGAAGCCUUGGUUAGAGAUAGGCAUAAAAAGGUACAAGCCCUAUUGGGCCAAGUACUUAAAACGAGAUGAUCACUUCAUGCUAGAUUGUAAUGUUAACAGAUAAUGUACCAUCAUAUGUGUACACAUUGCAUCUCAAGAGGAGAUGAAAUUUGUUCAGGCAUGGCAGUGAGUGAUGCUUUUGCAUAUGCCACAUUGGUUUUGCGAGUGCCUUAUUGGAGGCAAGCAUCAGAUGAACAUAUCUGCUUGUGGGCUAGACCUUUGAAAGAAAAUUAUUCUUUUAUUCAAUAUUGUAACAUCAUUUAUUAGGGGCUUCCAAUGCUGGAAGCUUCUCCAAUGUAGAACUGUGCUCUUGCAGGCUCCAGAGCAGUGUAGAGGACUAGAGGGGCACCUGGAUUGUGUAUUUAAAGUUCAUCUAGCAUGAUCUAGUUUCCAAUGAACAUUCAAGAUUAUUGUCAAGACUACUUAUGUGGCAGAGCUUCUGGGAAAUGCUACAAAAAGAGUUUGAUUUGUGUCUGCAGUUAUAUUUGAGUGAGAUUAAAGAAUUAUGUUACAGAUUAUACCCCAUUAAAUAGAAAGCUUCCCUUAUCAGACUGAAUUAAUGGCUUGAAGACAUGACUUUCGUGUGUACUAAUUGCAGAAAUUCAGGAUUAACACUGAAAUGGAUAUGUCAUAAGAGAUCUCAAAUGGACUAUUUGAUGAUUAGAAUGGGACCUCAAUGGCAUUUCUAUAGAAUGCCAUCGAGUACAGAUGCAUGAAUCUUCUAAAUUUUAAGUCACUCCCAUAGAAUAUAGAACUGCAAAUUUGUGGUGGUUUUUAUUUUUCC